UCGUGCUCUGCCCCAUUUCUGGCUGCUGCUUCCCGGAGGCAAGCCUUUAAAACACGGGUUUUUUGCCAAUGUUUGAUGGCUGGAGCAGGAUGCACAUUUGGAGGUUGCUGUGUGGGAGCUGGAUGAGCUUGGGCAGAGCUGGAGAUGUCCUGGACUCAUCCUGCACCAUAGGCAGUAUGGAAAAGGGAAAUUCUGUCCUUCUGCCCUGCUCAGCUGUCCUGCAGAAUCCCAGGGGGCUGUGAUGAGCCAGCUGCUGCACCUCUGUUCCUUCUGCCCAGGAGUGAGGACAUCAAAAGGUUUGCAAAGCCAUGGCUUGUCCUCGUUAUCCUGCACUAAUGGAUCAAUGAUUUAGAGCCUUCCCAAAGACAAUUUACAAGGGAGCUCUUUGAUUUCACACCUCUAUUUCCAUAAGGGAAAUCAAAGUGAAUUGAGUGAAAUACUGGAUGUGUUCCCUCUGUGCCUGUAGUCACCUUUGCUUUCCCACAGCAGGGAAAGUGGAAAGCAAUAAUAUUUAUUUCCAGCUAUGAAUAUUACACCCUUUUAUACAGCUGGUGAGUUAUUUUUGUGGUGCUCCUAAAUGUAUGCAGCAAAACUGCCAGAGCUGCUCAGGCCUCGGGUGCUUUAGGGAUUUUUGAGGCUAUUGCUGGAACAGUCUGUAAAUCUGGAAGCUGAUUGACUUUUCAUUUACAUCACUGAUAGCCAGGAAUGACUUCUGUGGAACCGUGGUGGCUUUGCAGGUCCAGGGUGUGAGAGGGGACACAAAGCAGGAUGCUGAUGUUAAUUUAAACCUGUAGUUAGUUAAUAAAUGAGUUAUUGCUGCAGUCUGUCCUUUCUGGGCCUCGGGGUGCAACGCUGAGAUGUGUUUGUUUCUGUUCUGAGGGAGGCCAGGGGAGCACUCGUGUUUCCCUUCAUGAGAAAUGUGCUGCUGCCAAGCUUCCCUCAGGUGUUACCCAAGAGUUAAAUUAAAUUCCCCCAAAAUUUGGCACUGCUUAGUCCCAGCUUAGCUCUAUAUCUGCACUAAAUGGGAAUUAUAUGGACACCAAAGAUCAAGUACAAGCCUAAGGCAGGAAGCAGCAGGUUCAAUAAAAUGAAAGUUAAAGAAUUACUUAUAACUUCUACAUAUUAAAUCCAUUCAAUAGCACAAUUUAUGUUGAUGUCAGUGAAAAAGAGGUUUGCCCUGUUGUCUGAUCAUGGUCUGGAACAAAUAUAACCCAGCUGAUCCUGUGACCACCAUAAAGCCUCACUGCUACUGAUGAGGGUCUAUAUUCACUUUACUGCUUUCCACAUUCUCAUUUUAAUGAAAACCUGUUACAAGUAGAGCUAAUGCUAUGAAAAUUUUGAUAGCCAGUAAAAAAUGCUUCUAAUUCACAAUGCAUAAAUAUCCCAAUGCUGGGGUUUUACAGCUAGAAAAAAAUGGUAAUUUUUGGACUGUGAUAUGGAGAAAAUAAAAGAUUUUUAUUUUUUCUCCAGCAAACGUAAUAUAAACUGUCCUGAAAGAAGCAUUUUUCAUUAAACUGUAAAAUGUUCAAGCUGACAUAUUUUACAUGCUUAGACAUAAUAUAUUUCUUUGCACUGUGCAUGUGGGUUUUUCAUUUAUUAGGAGGAAACAGGAAAAUGCUUCCUUCCAUAAAACCUGAAAGUUUUAUCGCAUCUUAUGUCAGCUCUUGGGGUUCUCAUCUGAUUUUUUUAAUGCAUCACACAGAAUUGGAGACACUUCUCUUGGAGCAAAGGAACAUUCCUUUUCAUUCCAUAGUUCCAAGAAACCCAAAUGCAGCAUUUGGCCAUGAAUGGUGUUUGAAAUUCUUGUCACAGCAUCUUUUCUAAAAGGAUGAAUGGAAACAGAGCUGCUGCCCUGCUUGAGACAGAUUUGCAAUAAAAGCAGAGAUAUUCCAUCAAUGUACAGAUACGAUCAAGAUUUGUUUCAUGGUUAUUGCAGAUGACUACACCAGGGGAAUGUUUGUUCCAUCUCAGUUAAAUAUCACAGAUUUUUGUAGUCAUUUCUUUGCAUUGACAGGCCUUGUAGGUAAAUUCAGCAUUUUCAGACAAAACACAUAAGUAGUUGUUGUACACCCACAGUGCAAAUUCUUCUUGGAAAUUUUCCUCCCAGGAGGAGAUGGGUGGACUUAUAAAAAAAAAUGUAAUAAUUUUUUGGCUUUUCUCUUUGCAUUAAAGAUAUUCUGUUGGAAAUGUUGUGGCUUCCACUCCAGCUGCUGAUCAUUUAUUUUUGCUGUCAUUUCCAUGAGGGGGCAGUGACCUCUGUGUCUGGGACUGGCUGCAUGUUCCAUGUUUGGGUGUGCACAAAAUAAGAGGAUUUUACACCUGGUGGGAAGAGGCUUUUCAUAAAUGCUCUGGUUUACAAUGUAUUGCAAUGAAUCAGAACGGAAAUAAAAUUAAAUUUAUGUGUUUGUGUUACAAAAAUGACUUCAGCCUUGGCUUAGCAGAGAGCUGUUAAAUGUCUGGUUAGCUUGGGGGUCUCUUGCAGGUGGAAGUGAAUUUCAGGGAGAAUUAAGCCAAAUCUGCAUUUCCUCUGACAUCUCUGCUCCUUCUGUCAGCCAAGGUGUGGCAUUCACAAACCUGGACAAAGUUUGACAAACCUGGAGGGAAGCUCUGUGUUUUUUGCUCAGUAAUCUUUCCUCUUCCUCUCACUUUCACAGAAGCAUUUUGAUUAUCUCUGGGUGUGCCUUCAGCUUUCCUUCCAGCAGGAUGACAUUUGGGAUGCCCAACGUGCUGCAUGCAGGGCUGCA
Molecule: long non-coding RNA, 2744 nt
Organism: Zonotrichia leucophrys gambelii
Lineage: Eukaryota; Metazoa; Chordata; Aves; Passeriformes; Passerellidae
Exons: 3
Source: RefSeq, a predicted model, not a curated record